Long non-coding RNA from Equus quagga, 876 nucleotides. RefSeq lists it as uncharacterized. The record is from RefSeq and is a predicted model, not a curated record. NCBI's taxonomy places the organism in Eukaryota, Metazoa, Chordata, Mammalia, Perissodactyla, Equidae. The transcript has 3 exons.
UGCCAAGUGGUGCCAUGUCCGCACCCGGGAUCCGAACCGGGGAACGCCGGGCAGCCGAGAAGCAGGACAUGCAAACUUAACCUCUGUGCCACUGGGCCGGCCCCUGAGGCGUAAAUGCUUUUCUGUUGACCGGAGCUGACCCUUUACCAGCGUUCCUGUCGUGCUGAUUAAGGAUGAAGACAAAGAUAGACUGACCCCAGGGGUCGGACCACCAGACCAGGUCUGCAGACCCUGUUUUUGGCCACCAGUCACUAUGGGAUUUGGAGUGACGCCAGCAUCCUGGGGCUUCGGCCCUCCCCCUUGGGAACACCCCCCAGGACUCCUUCCUCGUGCUUCUCCGGCCUGCAGACCAUUGGCCUGAGACUCGGUCACCAGCAAAGCCCAUUCAUCAGCCCCUACAGACACGGUGUUCUCGUCCCUCCUGACUUCUCGGAACCGUGGUGGUUUGGGCCAGUUUGGAAGAUGAAGAAAACAAGAGGAGGCCAGGCAGUUCCCCGGGAAUGGCUCCUCGCGUGUCAUCUUGCACAAAAGGGGAACAAGGCACAUCGUGUAGGUGAACUUGCUACUUUUUAUGUGAGUGCCGACCAGCUGUGCAGGAAACUAAGGAGGUUGGUAAGUGGGGGGUCCGAGCCGAGAGAACACGGGGCUAGAGGACACGCUCCGGGCAAGUGUCAUCUUUCUAAAUUCCAGGCUGACUUUCUGAGUUGCAGCAUUCAUUAGUCAUUCAUGGAACGAAAAAAAUACGAACCAUAUUUUUAAACAGUGUACGAAUCAAAAGUAAUUUAUUUUUAAUUGGAAGUUAGUUUUCUACAUAGGAAAGCAUCCCAAAAUGUGUUCCCCCUAAUUUUUAUUAACGUGAAUAAAACCUGUCUGCCA